RNAcentral lists this small nucleolar RNA (138 nucleotides) under Sorghum bicolor (sorghum). Its description in RNAcentral is "Small nucleolar RNA Z247". It matches the Rfam family "Small nucleolar RNA Z247". From Rfam's summary of the family: Z247 is a member of the C/D class of snoRNA which contain the C (UGAUGA) and D (CUGA) box motifs. The record is from Rfam by way of RNAcentral. Lineage: Eukaryota; Viridiplantae; Streptophyta; Magnoliopsida; Poales; Poaceae.
AAACUCGAAGAUGAGGAGAUGGUGUCCUACAUCCUCACUGGGCUCGACCAGGAGUACAACCCCUGGUGACCGCAGUCACCGCGCGGGUUGAGCCGAUCACUCUCGGCGAACUUUACUCGCAGCUUGUCAGCUUAGAGC